UACGUAGGGUGCAAGCGUUGUCCGGAAUUAUUGGGCGUAAAGAGCUCGUAGGCGGUCUGUUGCGUCGGCUGUGAAAACCCGGGGCUCAACCCCGGGCCUGCAGCCGAUACGGGCAGACUAGAGUUCGGCAGGGGAGACUGGAAUUCCUGGUGUAGCGGUUAAAUGCGCAGAUAUCAGGAGGAACACCGGUGGCGAAGGCGGGUCUCUGGGCCGAUACUGACGCUGAGGAGCGAAAGCGUGGGGAGCGAACAGG
This 253-nucleotide ribosomal RNA is filed under the name uncultured bacterium. RNAcentral's name for it is "partial 16S ribosomal RNA". It matches the Rfam family "Bacterial small subunit ribosomal RNA", at positions 524 to 776 of the family's 1533-position model. The record is from RNAcentral.